GACGGUCUUGCUGUCACUUAUAGAUGGAUCCGCGCUGCAUUAGCUAGUUGGUAAGGUAACGGCUUACCAAGGCAACGAUGCAUAGCCGACCUGAGAGGGUGAUCGGCCACACUGGAACUGAGACACGGUCCAGACUCCUACGGGAGGCAGCAGUAGGGAAUCUUCCGCAAUGGGCGAAAGCCUGACGGAGCAACGCCGCGUGAGUGAUGAAGGUCUUCGGAUCGUAAAACUCUGUUAUUAGGGAAGAACAUAUGUGUAAGUAACUGUGCACAUCUUGACGGUACCUAAUCAGAAAGCCACGGCUAACUACGUGCCAGCAGCCGCGGU
RNAcentral lists this ribosomal RNA (327 nucleotides) under Staphylococcus aureus. Its description in RNAcentral is "bacterial SSU rRNA". It matches the Rfam family "Bacterial small subunit ribosomal RNA", at positions 202 to 521 of the family's 1533-position model. The record is from RNAcentral. Lineage: Bacteria; Bacillati; Bacillota; Bacilli; Caryophanales; Staphylococcaceae.